This is a long non-coding RNA of Antechinus flavipes (yellow-footed antechinus), 704 nucleotides long. RefSeq lists it as uncharacterized. The record is from RefSeq and is a predicted model, not a curated record. The transcript is spliced from 3 exons. NCBI's taxonomy places the organism in Eukaryota, Metazoa, Chordata, Mammalia, Dasyuromorphia, Dasyuridae.
GAGAGAGGGGUUAUAACAUAAAAGCUAUUUUAAAAUGAACAUUUUAUUUAUGCUGUUUUUAUUGAACCUAGGAAAGGUUGGAAGUGUUGAAAACUAUUCAGGACCUUAUGCCAUCUGCCCUUAUUUCAUAUGUUCCCUCAUAUGAGUUGGAACAAAGGAGUGGGCUGGAUGGAAUUAAAGAAUGUAUAUAAAAAAAGAAAGUAGUGAUCAAACGCUACUGAUAAGGGAAGCCAGUGUGCUCCUGGGUGAUGUGUGUAUUCAACUCCAGGCUGACUCCUCUUAUGCUAAUACAGCCAAUUUCCUCUUUUAUUUCAUUUCUGGAGCCUGAAUCUGUGAUCUCUGAUAAGGUUCCCAAGGAUACCGCCUUCACUCACAAAUGGGUAGGUAGAGGGGGGAGUGGGUGAUGGAGAUGUGUAACUCCUAGAGAGCACUAGUGGAUGAAUAAUUUAAUGCUCCACCCGGAGAUUUGAGGCAAAACAGAGAGAUAAGAGACACCACAGGGUCUUCUCUGUUUAUUCAGAGCUUCAUCUUCCAAUGACAGCUGACCUCCAAGGUCAAGGGCAUGAUGGGAAAUGGAACCAACAGUGGGAAAAGAUAAACAUGAAAACAUACUAAGGUCACUGCCCGGUGAGAGGAGAGUGCAAGUCAGUGGAUGGUAAGGACUACUACUCUGACUCCAUGGACCCAGACAAAAUGGAUUAGUA